GACGAACGCUGGCGGCGUGCUUAACACAUGCAAGUCGAACGGAAAGGCCCUGCUCUUGUGGGGUGCUUGUGUGGCGAACGGGUGUGUAAAACGUGAGUAACCUGCCCUUGUCUUUCGGAUAACUUUAGGGAACUCGGGCUAAUACCGGAUAGGAGCUCCUGCUGCGCGGUGGGGGUUGGAAAGUGUCGGCGGUUGGGGAUGGACUGGCGGCUUAUCAGCUUGUUGGUGGGGUAGUGGCUUACCAAGGGUUUGACGGGUAGCCGGCCUGAGAGGGUGGCCGGCGACAUGGGGACUGAGAGACGGCGCAGACUCCUACGGGAGGCAGCAGUGGGGAGUAUUGCACAGUGGGCGGAAGCCUGAGGCAGCAACGCCGGGUGCGGGAUGACGGCCUUCGGGGUGUAAACCGCUUUCGCCUGUGACGAAGCGUGAGUGACGGUAAUGGGUAAGGAAGCACCGGCUAACUACGUG
This 468-nucleotide ribosomal RNA is filed under the name uncultured bacterium. RNAcentral describes it as "partial 16S ribosomal RNA". It matches the Rfam family "Bacterial small subunit ribosomal RNA", at positions 28 to 507 of the family's 1533-position model. The record is from RNAcentral.